GCGCGUAUGGCGGAAUUGGUAGACGCACUAGACUUAGGAUCUAGCGGUUUGUGCCAUGGGGGUUCAAGUCCCUCUACGCGCA
RNAcentral lists this transfer RNA (82 nucleotides) under Mycoplasma sp. CAG:776. It matches the Rfam family "tRNA". Rfam says of the family: Transfer RNA (tRNA) molecules are approximately 80 nucleotides in length. Their secondary structure includes four short double-helical elements and three loops (D, anti-codon, and T loops). Lineage: Bacteria; Bacillati; Mycoplasmatota; Mollicutes; Mycoplasmatales; Mycoplasmataceae. The record is from Rfam by way of RNAcentral.